Molecule: long non-coding RNA, 1216 nt
Organism: Orcinus orca (killer whale)
Lineage: Eukaryota; Metazoa; Chordata; Mammalia; Artiodactyla; Delphinidae
Exons: 3
Source: RefSeq, a predicted model, not a curated record
GGCCUAUGUGGCGUCAGGUGGGAAUGAACUUUGGGGCCUAAUUGUCACAAAAACCUGGACUUUAGAAUCAGUCUGAGUUGAAAUCUUGGUCCCAACACUUGCCAGCUGUGUAACCUUAGACAAAAGAUGGCCUUCUGCAUACCAGCAAGUGGGCCCUUAUAAGACACCAAAUCUGCCAGCAUCUUGAUCUUGGACUUCCUAGCUUCCAGAACUGCCUUGCCCUGUGGCACGUGGGGUCUUAGUUCCCCUACCAAGGAUCAAACCUGCGCCCCCUGAAUUGGGAGUGUGGAGUCUUAACUACUGGACCGCCAGGGAAGUCCAAGUUUGUACUCUUUUGUGUAAGGUUUCUUUUGCUCAGCAUAAUACACUAUAGAUUUAUCCAGGUUGCUGCAUGUAUUAGUAGUUGGUUCCUUUUUCUUGCUGAGUAGUAUUCCAUUGUAUGAGUGGGCCAUAAUUUGCUUACCCAUUCUGUUGUUGAUAGACAUUUGGAUUGUCUCUAGUUUUUGGUUCUUAUGAAUUAAACUGUGCACAUUCAUGUACAAGUCCUUCUGUGGUCAAACGUUAUUUCCCUCCAGAGUUUUGAUUUACUGUCCUGCUUCACUGAGAAACUUCCCCACCAAAUUAGUAGGGAAGUUUCCCUCAGCUAGAAAGACAGAUGAGUUUUUUCUCCCAUGCAGUCACUAUUCAUACCCAAGAUAGAACUUUUCAUCUAUGCCCCUAAAUCUGCUCCUUCUGGAAUCUUCGCCACCUCAUUGUGUUGCUCCAGCCAGAAACCUGACUGCUCUCUUUGCUCACAUCGUUCAACCCAGCCAUCAGUAACCCCAUCAUGUGUGCCAUCAAAACACCUGACCACUUAUUUCCUCCAUGGCCACCAGCUGUUCUGGACCACCAUCACCUGUUACCUGGAACACUGCAGUAUCCUCUCCUCUGCCUUCACUCUAGUUUCUCUCUCCCACCCUCACCUCCCACCCCUGGGUGAUUCUUACCACAGAAGCCAGAGCAAGCCUUCAGAGGCUAAGUGAGAACAUGUUCUGCCUUCACCCGAAACCUUCCCAUGGCUCUCACCCCACUCUAAGCAAAAGCCACAGUUAUUACAAUGUAGACAUUGCAAUAACAAAGCCCUCAUGAUCUCCCCAUGCUACUUCUUUCCCAUCAUCCCCUUCCUUUUCUCCUUUACAGUCACACUGUGCUUAUUCCUUUAAUAUGUCAAGGAUGU